CUACGGGUGGCUCCAGUGAGGAAUAUUGCACAAUGGAGGAAACUCUGAUGCAGCAACGCCGCGUGGAGGAUGACGCAUUUCGGUGUGUAAACUCCUUUUAUAUGUCAAGAAAAUGACGGUAGCAUAUGAAUAAGCUCCGGCUAACUCCGUGCCAGCAGCCGCGGUAAUACGGAGGGAGCAAGCGUUACUCGGAAUCACUGGGCGUAAAGGACGCGUAGGCGGGAUAGAAAGUCAGGUGUGAAAUCCUAUGGCUCAACCAUAGAACUGCACUUGAAACUUCUAACCUAGAGUAUGGGAGGGGAAGAUGGAAUUAGUGGUGUAGGGGUAAAAUCCGUAGAUAUCACUAGGAAUACCAAGAGCGAAGGCGGUCUUCUGGAACAAUACUGACGCUAAGGCGUGAAAGCGUGGGGAGCAAACAGGAUUAGAUACCCUGGUAGUC
Molecule: ribosomal RNA, 439 nt
Filed under: uncultured bacterium
Lineage: Bacteria
Description: partial 16S ribosomal RNA
Rfam family: Bacterial small subunit ribosomal RNA
Source: RNAcentral